GUCCCCUCGGGUGCUCCAGGUGAUGCCCCAGUUCACCUUCGCUUGCUUCUGCGGGCUGCAUGGCUUCUGCAAGAUGAAGAGGAAGAAGGAGGAACCCAGCGGGGAGCAGGAGACGGCGGUGUGAGCAGCAGGGACAGGAGUGGGACACCGGAGCUGCUGGGGGGCAUUGGCUGUCCCCUCUCCUGUCACCUCUGCAGGGAUCCCUGUGCUGCGGAGACAUCUGCCUGGCCAGGAGGGAGCUGAAACAUGGGAGUGCCCACACCAGGAGGAACCAGCCGGCGUUGCAGACAGUACUGGGGGGCUGCAGCCAUCCUGCCACAUGUGCUGAGCCCUCUGCACCCCAACAGCCGCUGUCAGAGAAGGAUUCGCCCCGAGCCCACUGCCCUGCCCUCACCCCAGCACUGCUCUGCGGACAGACCCUAAAGGGGUUUCCAAAAUCUAGGGCCAGACCUUGUCCUGCAUGGAGUAAUAGUGCUGGGGGGGCUGCCCCAGGGUGUGCACACAGAGGCUCCAAGGGAAGCCGAAGCCACCGAGGUUGAUGCUGAUGCAGCCACGUUUGGGCUCAGCUGACGGUGCCCCGCUCCUGGGGGGACACAGUUGGUUCCCCCUAGUGAUGAUGUGGGAUGAUGACCCCUUUCAGGGCUGUUUUGGCAGCAGGAUCCAUCACAGUUUGGCAGCCACGGAUGUGCAAGCUAACAGCUGCUCCGAGACUCUUUGUCACUCUGGAUGCACAGAGAGCGUCCCUGCAAAGGAGCUUGUGUAUGGAGGGGGUGCUAAGGGACGAGCUGGGAGCUCUGCUGGAAGCACUGCACUCAUGCCGUGCACCCACUGUACACAGUGCAUGCACACUGCACACACUGCACAUGCCAUCUAUGGCACGUGCACGCUGCACACACUGCAUGCGGUGCACACCCAGCACACGGUGCACGCACGCUGCACGCUCUGUGCACGCACUAUUCACACACUGCUCAUGCCGUGCACACCCGCAUGGUGCACACCACGGUUGCAUGCUGGCUGCGUGCAGCAGCCCUGUGCUUGCUCAGGAGCACGCCCCAGUUGCACACUGGCAGCUCUGUGCCUGCUCGGGCUGUCCCUGGAUCUGCAGUACUCCCAUCUCCAGUGA
Molecule: long non-coding RNA, 1123 nt
Filed under: Numida meleagris (helmeted guineafowl)
Lineage: Eukaryota; Metazoa; Chordata; Aves; Galliformes; Numididae
Description: lncRNA (ENSNMEG00000009765.1)
Source: RNAcentral